Molecule: transfer RNA, 91 nt
Filed under: Ganoderma leucocontextum
Lineage: Eukaryota; Fungi; Basidiomycota; Agaricomycetes; Polyporales; Polyporaceae
Description: tRNA-Leu
Rfam family: tRNA
About the family: Transfer RNA (tRNA) molecules are approximately 80 nucleotides in length. Their secondary structure includes four short double-helical elements and three loops (D, anti-codon, and T loops).
Source: RNAcentral
GGUGAGAUGGCCGAGCGGUCUAAGGCGCCAGACUAAGGCUUAUGUAAUCAUCUGGUCCGAAAGGGCGUGGGUUCGAAUCCCACUCUCAUCA